CUCACUGGGCUUUGUAAGUUGCUUUGGAUAAGAGCGUCUGCUAAAUGACUUAAA
This is a non-coding RNA of Salmo salar (Atlantic salmon), 54 nucleotides long. Lineage: Eukaryota; Metazoa; Chordata; Actinopteri; Salmoniformes; Salmonidae. The record is from Rfam.